UACGAGGGGGGCGAGCGUUGUUCGGAAUUACUGGGCGUAAAGGGGGCGUAGGUGGUUUGUUAAGUCUGCUGUGAAAUCCCCGGGCUCAACCUGGGAAUGGCAGUGGAUACUGGCAAGCUAGAGUGCGGUAGAGGGUAGUGGAAUUCCCGGUGUAGCAGUGAAAUGCGUAGAUAUCUGGAGGAACACCGAUGGCGAAGGCGGCAUUCUGGACUGCAACUGACACUGAAAAACGAAAGCCAGGGGAGCAAACGGG
This 253-nucleotide ribosomal RNA is filed under the name uncultured bacterium. RNAcentral's name for it is "partial 16S ribosomal RNA". It matches the Rfam family "Bacterial small subunit ribosomal RNA", at positions 524 to 776 of the family's 1533-position model. The record is from RNAcentral.